GGGGAAAAAAAAUAAGAACCAAGAUACUCAUGUAAUGGUACAAGAUCCCAAUGCUGUAUGUAAAUGUAUUUUAUACCUAAAAUGUACCAAUAAACUUAAUGAGGGGAAAAUAAAAAAGAUAAAAAAGACCUAGGAAUAUUAGGCUUUUGACAUCCCCAAAGGAACUUCCAGGUAUCAGAUUUAGUAUUCAGUCACAGAAUUACAGCACAUCGUGUUCAGGUAGAGGAUGGCCCUGGCGUUUAACUGCACAAAAAUGCCAAAGUUUUGUGUGUUGUGGUUGCUGAAUUGAAACCCAGUGGGCUGCAAUAGGUUAUCAUGCCAGAAUGAGUUGACUCAAUUGGCAGAAUAGAGGAUGUAGCAAUAAACUCAUGGGUUCUGGAGCCAAGAGAACCGCAGGAGCAUUGUUUGUUUUUUGGUACUGGGGACUGAACUCGGGACCUUGCACUUGCGAGGUAGGAGCCAAAACCACUGAGCUAAAUACCCAACUCCAGGAGUACUAUUUCUGUCAAACGUUUAAACUCCAUACUGACUUGCGAGUGAAACAGAGCUCUAGAGACCACUAGAUGGCGCUGCUACACCAUAUAAAGAAGGCUAGAGGUGCUUCUCAAAGCUAGGGAUUUGCACAAGCCACUCUUCACCAAACUCUGGAGAGAGAAGCAGGGAAGGGAGAGCUCUCUGAGUGAUCAAGCACUGCUUCAGCCUAUAGGGACUGAAUACUUCUUAAAAGUAUAUUCAGAUUGUCAGAUUGGGUUAAGUUUAAACUAGAUCAAACCAUUAAGUUUUGUCUCUUGCUAACCAGCCGAUGGUGAUUUGGGAGGGAUGUCAACUUAUACAGUAAAAUAAAGAAAGUGUAAUGUUUCUAUAAAUCAUCUGAAUUGUAUUGUAAGUCUUGGGUUUUGUCUCUGAUUGUCCUUCUGCUCAGUCAUUGAGAUUUCUCUUUCAAUAGGAUGCCAGAAGAGGAAAGAGGAUUAGAGAACAUCAUACCUUAAAUUUAUCUUUCUCUUUUAUCUCCUUCCUUUCCUAUUUUUGUUUCCUGCUCUGUCCUUGAGUUUGGAAAGGGUAUUUGAGUUUGGAGGGCUCAUGUCCAUGAAGACAUCCUUGACCUCCAGUUAUCUCUUCAUCUUUUGCCAAUAUUUUCAUCUUGUGUUUCUGUGCUAUUAAUCACUUUUUAUUCUGUCUGUUCAUAUUCUUUCUAUCAUUUGAGUAUAUCUCUUAAGAAGUGGAUCUAUGUGUAAUUCAUUUAUAAAGAUCUGAGUUCUUUAAAAAUUCUACAUGUAUAGGAAAUGUUUAGUGUGAAUAGUACCAGUCUCAAGCUGUGCAAAGAUAUAUGUUAACAAAGUUAAUUGCAGUACUGUUUAUAAUGGUGAACAUUUAGGAACUUCAGUUGCCAGUCAGUUGGGGCCUGGUUAAUUACAUACAAAGAAAAAACAUUAAUUGUUAAACUAGAUCAAUAUUUGUUGUUCUAGAAAGAUGUUCAUAGUAGAUUUUUAGUGGAAAAAGAGAUUAUAUAUACAUUUCCAUAUAUGCAAAAUUAUGUGUAUUUAACCUUGUGCCCAUAUUCCUGGAAUAUUAAUGUAUUAAAAUGUUUACAGAAAGUGGUAUUUUGUGUUCUUAAUGUUUUCCCAAGUUUUGGAUUUUUUCAGUGAACC
Heterocephalus glaber (naked mole-rat) is the source of this 1649-nucleotide long non-coding RNA. Lineage: Eukaryota; Metazoa; Chordata; Mammalia; Rodentia; Bathyergidae. The record is from Ensembl.